UACGAAACCUGCUAUCAUGACAACACACCCUGGAACCAAAACCCAGGGGCCAUCAUUACCAGACAGUGUACGGGAGGUCCGGUGUCAGGAGACAGGAUCAGGAUAACAACACCAUCAGGUGUUGUUCUAACACUGUGUGAAGUUCUCGUUUAUGUGUGUUCCGUUGGAUGGUAUGGUAACAUGUGUGGCCGACGAUGUGUGACGACGACAGCCUGUUCCAAAUGUGACGUCACAGGAACACGUUGUGCAGAAUGUGUCGCAGGUCGUAUGGGGG
Liolophura sinensis is the source of this 274-nucleotide long non-coding RNA. RefSeq lists it as uncharacterized. The transcript is spliced from 3 exons. NCBI's taxonomy places the organism in Eukaryota, Metazoa, Mollusca, Polyplacophora, Chitonida, Chitonidae. The record is from RefSeq and is a predicted model, not a curated record.